GACGAACGCUGGCGGCGUGCUUAACACAUGCAAGUCGAACGGAAAGACCCUGCUUUUGUGGGGUGCUCGAGUGGCGAACGGGUGAGUAACACGUGAGUAACCUGCCCUUGACUUUGGGAUAACUUCAGGAAACUGGGGCUAAUACCGGAUAGGAGCUCCUGCUGCAUGGUGGGGGUUGGAAAGUUUCGGCGGUUGGGGAUGGACUCGCGGCUUAUCAGCUUGUUGGUGGGGUAGUGGCUUACCAAGGCUUUGACGGGUAGCCGGCCUGAGAGGGUGACCGGCCACAAGGGGACUGAGAUACGGCCCGGACCCCUACGGGAGGGAGCAGGGGGGAAUAUUGCACAAUGGACGGAGAGUUUGUGCCAGAACCCCUGGAGGGAGGAUGAGGCUUUCGGGUUUGAAACGGGUUUCCCGUUGGGAAGAAGGAAAUGACGGUAAAAGGAGAAGAAAGGACGGCUAAAUACGUG
RNAcentral lists this ribosomal RNA (467 nucleotides) under uncultured bacterium. Its description in RNAcentral is "partial 16S ribosomal RNA". It matches the Rfam family "Bacterial small subunit ribosomal RNA", at positions 28 to 507 of the family's 1533-position model. The record is from RNAcentral.